RNAcentral lists this transfer RNA (94 nucleotides) under Candidatus Methanomethylicus sp. RNAcentral's name for it is "tRNA-Val". It matches the Rfam family "tRNA". Rfam says of the family: Transfer RNA (tRNA) molecules are approximately 80 nucleotides in length. The record is from RNAcentral. Lineage: Archaea; Thermoproteati; Thermoproteota; Methanosuratincolia; Candidatus Methanomethylicales; Candidatus Methanomethylicaceae.
GGGCCCGUAGUCUAGUCUGGUUAGGACACCCGCAUGGCCUAAAGUCGCCCUCACACGGCGAAGGUCUCCGGUUCGAGUCCGGACGGGCCCACCA